This 217-nucleotide ribosomal RNA is filed under the name Culex imitator. RNAcentral describes it as "partial 16S ribosomal RNA". Lineage: Eukaryota; Metazoa; Arthropoda; Insecta; Diptera; Culicidae. The record is from RNAcentral.
GAUCUUUAUUUUUAUUAUUUAUAAAUUAAAAAGAAUUAUAUAAUUUAUAUUUUUAUUAAAAAUUUUAUUGGGGUGAUAUUAAAAUUUAAGAAACUUUUAAAAUUAAUUAACAUAAAUAUAUGAAUAAUUGAUCCAAUUUUAUUGAUUAAAAAUUUAAGUUACCUUAGGGAUAACAGCGUAAUUUUUUUUUAGAGUUCAUAUCGACAGAAAAGAUUGC